GCUCCGUUGGCCUAGUGGUUAGAGCAUUCGCCUCGGAUGCGGGAGAUCGUGGGUUCGAUUUACGGUCGAGCC
Potamilus streckersoni is the source of this 72-nucleotide non-coding RNA. The record is from the annotation of a GenBank genome assembly. NCBI's taxonomy places the organism in Eukaryota, Metazoa, Mollusca, Bivalvia, Unionida, Unionidae.